RNAcentral lists this long non-coding RNA (473 nucleotides) under Carica papaya (papaya). RNAcentral describes it as "long non-coding RNA (CPAP_LNC016516)". Lineage: Eukaryota; Viridiplantae; Streptophyta; Magnoliopsida; Brassicales; Caricaceae. The record is from RNAcentral.
GCCGUCCCAUAUCCCGUCCGGUAAUGGGUGCCAAAAACACCAUCGCCUCGAUACCCCAUCUAGUAUGAGAGUUAACCAUAUCUCCCAAAAUCCUUCCGGUAUGGGACUUCUCAAUCCUGUUCGACUGAGGUAAUGUCCACGGUAGGGUUCUCUAUGUACCGAGUCCAUCCACCAUUUCCUGAGAUGCCCAGUAAGCUUUCAUUUAUUUAGAUUCUCAUCAACUAAACAACCACCAAAGCAUAUGAACGUCUCGUUUCAUAUUCACCGAUUAAUUAAACGGUAUUUAAGCAAACGAUAUACUUUAACAUAACCGAAUAAGCAAGUAACCAGAUAACCAAUUAAAUAAUGCAGGAGGAACCAAAUAAACCAAAUAAUAGAGAAGGUCAUAAAAACAAUCAAUUUAAAUAUGCACAAUAUAAUAGUAAGUAAUUUAGGCAGUACAGGAAAAAUAAACAAGGAAUCAAGAGAAAUAU